CGUCUGCAACCUACACCACAGCUCACGGCAACGCCAGAUCGUUAACCCACUGAGCAAGGGCAGGGACCGAACCCGCAACCUCAUGGUUCCUAGUCAGAUUCGUUAACCACUGCGCCACGACGGGAACUCCAAAUCAUGUGCUUUUUAAUCUUAAAAGUUUAUCUAUGUUUUUUGGAAAAUUUUGAGAUCUUGAUCUUCCAUUGCUUAUGUCAGUUUUAGCCUUUUCCCCUAUGUAAUUCGCUGUUGUCCACCAAUAAAUUAGAGACUGCUUGAGCACUCCUCGAGAGUGUCUGCGUCUCCAUUCUUCUUCCUGCACCUGCCGCCCCUCCUCUUCGGGACCUCCCCUGACCCCCGGGCGGGCAGGACCCCGGCAAUUUUGCUUUUGGCUGGUUACCCAGUACUCUAAAGGAUUUCUCCUGCCUGUACCUGACAGCAGUCUGAUUUUCCCCUUUUCCUCUUUCGUCUUCCACAUUCAGAUAUUUAGUGGUGACUUUGUUGGAAGGUAGAAAAAUGAAAAUGAUGCUCAUUGUCUGGAAGCACUAUUGCGCUUCUUCAUUUUUUUUUUUUCUUCUCCAUUUCAAGCUAAGAGAAAGGAGGAAGAGAGGCAGAAAAGGAGUCAAAGAAGGACGGUGGAAAGGAGAGAGGAAGGAAAACGAAGGUUCCAGGAAAGACUCCAACCACCUGAGCAGCAUGUGCAGGGCCUCCAGCUGCUACAUCCUGAAGUGUGAUCCUGUCGCUGUCACAGUUGAAGGAAGACUGUGUCCCAGCAGUGCCUUGACUAAGAGGCCUCUCUCAGAGAUACGAGGGUGGCAUCGGAUGGCGCUCCAGCUACCACAAGUAAGGAGGGGUCUCACCACACCAGGCUAGGCCAGAACAUCCCCUCGAGUCUGCAGACAUUUCGGACAUAACCCCGUAUCCCACCAUAAAGAUAUUUAGAGAGUUCGCUGUGCUCAAGUGCAAAAUAAUCAGGUGAGGAUUUUGCACAGUCCCUAAGAAAUAGACAAUUCUCGUAGGUGGGGAAUGGACCUGACUUGCCAGAUGCCACCAAAACUCUAAUCAGACUUACAAUCUAGAAGGCUGAUUCCCCGCCCCCCACAAUGAGCUGCCUUGGACACCAGUUAAAUAGUCAUUCCUCAAAGGAUGUUUCCCUUACAACCUCCCUCCACCCCCCCUCCAAAACCAUUACCCACAUUCAUAAAGAGAUUGCCUCCCCCUAACCCUUGACUAUUAUCUCAGCACAAGAAGAAAUCUAUGCUAAAAAUAGAAAUUACCAUGUUUCCUAAGUGGCUCCCUAAACAGCAGGGAGCCUGAGUCCACUCUCAAUGCUCCCGGCCAAUCUGUUGGUCAAUAAAAUUUACUUGACGUCUCA
This 1369-nucleotide long non-coding RNA is filed under the name Sus scrofa (pig). RNAcentral's name for it is "lncRNA (ENSSSCG00055026397.1)". Lineage: Eukaryota; Metazoa; Chordata; Mammalia; Artiodactyla; Suidae. The record is from RNAcentral.